CCUCAAAUCAGGUAGGACUACCCGCUGACUUAAGCAUAUCAAUAAGCGGAGGAAAAGAAACUAACAAGGAUUCCCCUAGUAACUGCGAGUGAAGCGGGAAAAGCUCAAAUUUAAAAUCUGGCGGUUUUGCCGUCCGAGUUGUAAUCUGGAGAAGCGUUUUCCGCGUUGGACCGUGUACAAGUCUCUUGGAACAGAGCGUCAUAGAGGGUGAGAAUCCCGUCUUUGACACGGACUACCAAUGCUUUGUGAUACGCUCUCAAAGAGUCGAGUUGUUUGGGAAUGCAGCUCAAAAUGGGUGGUAAAUUCCAUCUAAAGCUAAAUAUUGGCGAGAGACCGAUAGCGAACAAGUACCGUGAGGGAAAGAUGAAAAGCACUUUGGAAAGAGAGUUAAACAGUACGUGAAAUUGUUGAAAGGGAAACGCUUGAAGUCAGUCGCGUUGUCCGGGACUCAGCCUUGCUUCUGCUUGGUGUACUUCCUGGUUGACGGGCCAACAUCGAUUUUGAUCGGCGGAUAAAGGUAGAGGGAAUGUGGCACCUUCGGGUGUGUUAUAGCCCUCUGUCGGAUGCGUCGAUUGGGAUCGAGGACCGCAGCAUGCCUUUUUGGCCGGGGUUCGCCCACGUAACGUGCUUAGGAUGUUGGCAUAAU
Molecule: ribosomal RNA, 646 nt
Filed under: uncultured Basidiomycota
Lineage: Eukaryota; Fungi; Basidiomycota
Description: LSU rRNA
Rfam family: Eukaryotic large subunit ribosomal RNA
Source: RNAcentral